RNAcentral lists this long non-coding RNA (199 nucleotides) under Ananas comosus (pineapple). RNAcentral's name for it is "long non-coding RNA (ACOM_LNC011012)". The record is from RNAcentral. Lineage: Eukaryota; Viridiplantae; Streptophyta; Magnoliopsida; Poales; Bromeliaceae.
UUUCAAACUUGAAAUUUUUUUUUUUUUGAGAGAGAUAGGUAGUAUACUAACCGCUUCAUUUAUUUCAUUUAGAAAUAAACUUAGCUGGAAAUAUGAAUCAACUAGGAUUCGAACUUGGGUCUCGAAUACCAACCACCAAAUCCUUUGCCACUUCCUUUAGGGAUGGUCGGUUCGAACUUGAAAUUUGAAUACCAAAUAU